AGACAGGCUUCAUUCGAGGCCACAUUCAUUGUCUAAGAGGACAUCU
This is a non-coding RNA of Ailuropoda melanoleuca (giant panda), 46 nucleotides long. The record is from Rfam. Lineage: Eukaryota; Metazoa; Chordata; Mammalia; Carnivora; Ursidae.